Molecule: long non-coding RNA, 1041 nt
Filed under: Homo sapiens (human)
Lineage: Eukaryota; Metazoa; Chordata; Mammalia; Primates; Hominidae
Description: novel transcript
Source: RNAcentral
GCUCCGCGAGUCCUGGCGAGAGCCGAGGGCUCCCCGGGUUCAAAGGGCCGCAGCCCCGAGGGAACGCCCUCCUUGCUGUGCCCCGGGGGGCAGAAGCGGACUGCUGGGCGGUGGGACCGGCCUGGGCCACGGUAUGCUACUGCUCAUACCGGCCUUGCUGGGAGAGGAUCCUUGAUGACUGGGACCUACAUGGAUGCCAGGAUGCCAAGGAGUCAACGCCUUGUUCCCUGGGUAGCUGGCUCAGGCUGGUUCUAACAGAGUCUAUUGAUGCAAACCAGAAUUUUGAAGCUUGGUUCACAAAGUUGAGACAACUCCAGCUUUCUUUGUUUUGGCUUAGUAAUUCUGACUUUUGAAAUCUCCUGUCGUGAACAAAUCUACACUGCACUUUAUUUCUUGCCCCGUCCUGGAAUUCAGCCACUCCUGCACUACAUUUCUUAAGGUGAAGAAGUGAAAGACGAAGACACCAAUCCAAGUGAACGUGUGUUAUUCUCUUCUAUAAUGCUAUUGUAUUAUAUUCCCUCUUUUUUUUAAAUUCUCUUGAUUUCUCUGCACAAAAGAGGGAAAUUCUUCCAAAGCAACGGAAAGUUUCCUUGAAAUACUUUUAUCUAGUCACACUUACAUAGUGUAAUGUCUCUCUCUUACAGCAUUGUACAGUUUGGGAUUUGUUUUUAAUCCUGUGGAAAAUGUCCUAACAGGGCUUUGGUGUAUCUUUGUUCCAAUUUCUACAUUGCUUGGGGAGGGGGAGAAGCUUUCUUUGUAUUAAAUGAAAUACACCACUACUUCAUUAAAUAAAUAGACACCUCAACCAUUAGUUGCUAAUGAAACAAAAAUCUAAGUAAAACAUCUAACUAUCCAAAUACUACAUUUUCUCUACCUUUGCCCCAAAAUGUGCCUCAUCUCCCUGCACCUCCAAAUAAUAUUUCUAGUGUUUUCAUUUUAUUAGUUUUGCAAUGUCACUGUCCAGAUAGAAUUAUUCGAUGACUUAAAACAACUUUCGUAAGAUUUUCAAGCCCUAAAUUAAAAAAUCAUAUUUCAAUACAA